RNAcentral lists this transfer RNA (16 nucleotides) under Saccharomyces cerevisiae YJM1439. RNAcentral describes it as "partial tRNA-Ser". The record is from RNAcentral. Lineage: Eukaryota; Fungi; Ascomycota; Saccharomycetes; Saccharomycetales; Saccharomycetaceae.
GGUAGUUCAGCUAGGG